Molecule: ribosomal RNA, 305 nt
Filed under: uncultured bacterium
Lineage: Bacteria
Description: bacterial SSU rRNA
Rfam family: Bacterial small subunit ribosomal RNA
Source: RNAcentral
CCUACGGGGGGCAGCAGUGAGGAAUAUUGGUCAAUGGGCGCGAGCCUGAACCAGCCAAGUCGCGUGAGGGAUGACGGUCCUACGGAUUGUAAACCUCUUUUGCCGGGGAGCAAGCGUGCGUUCGUGAACGCGCGUCGAGAGUACCCGGAGAAAAAGCAUCGGCUAACUCCGUGCCAGCAGCCGCGGUAAUACGGAGGAUGCGAGCGUUAUCCGGAUUUAUUGGGUUUAAAGGGUGCGCAGGCGGCGUGUCAAGCAAGCGGUAAAAUAGCGGGGCUCAACCCCGUCGAGCCGUUUGAACUGGCGCG